RNAcentral lists this ribosomal RNA (253 nucleotides) under uncultured bacterium. RNAcentral's name for it is "partial 16S ribosomal RNA". It matches the Rfam family "Bacterial small subunit ribosomal RNA", at positions 524 to 776 of the family's 1533-position model. The record is from RNAcentral.
UACGUAGGGUGCGAGCGUUGUCCGGAAUUACUGGGCGUAAAGAGCUCGUAGGUGGUUUGUCGCGUUGUCCGUGAAAACUCACAACUCAAUUGUGGGCGUGCGGGCGAUACGGGCAGACUGGAGUACUGCAGGGGAGACUGGAAUUCCUGGUGUAGCGGUGGAAUGCGCAGAUAUCAGGAGGAACACCGGUGGCGAAGGCGGGUCUCUGGGCAGUAACUGACGCUGAGGCACGAAAGCGUGGGGAGCAAACAGG